UACAGAGGGUGCAAGCGUUGUUCGGAGUUAUUGGGCGUAAAGCGCGUGUAGGCGGCCUGUUAUGUCGGGUGUGAAAGCCCUCAGCUUAACUGAGGAAGUGCGCCCGAAACUGGCAGGCUUGAGUGUCGGAGAGGAUAGCGGAACACCCGGUGUAGAGGUGAAAUUCGUAGAUAUCGGGUAGAACACCAGUGGCGAAGGCGGCUAUCUGGACGACAACUGACGCUGAGACGCGAAAGCGUGGGGAGCAAACAGG
Molecule: ribosomal RNA, 253 nt
Filed under: uncultured bacterium
Lineage: Bacteria
Description: partial 16S ribosomal RNA
Rfam family: Bacterial small subunit ribosomal RNA
Source: RNAcentral